CCUACGGGUGGCAGCAGUGAGGAAUAUCGGUCAAUGGACGAGAGUCUGAACCAGCCAAGUAGCGUGAAGGAUGACUGCCCUAUGGGUUGUAAACUUCUUUUAUAUGGGAAUAAAAUGUUCCACGUGUGGGAUUUUGUAUGUACCAUAUGAAUAAGGAUCGGCUAACUCCGUGCCAGCAGCCGCGGUAAUACGGAGGAUCCGAGCGUUAUCCGUAUUUAUUGGGUUUAAAGGGAGCGUAGGUGGAUUGUUAAGUCAGUUGUGAAAGUUUGCGGCUCAACCGUAAAAUUGCAGUUGAAACUGGCAGUCUUGAGUACAGGAGAGGUGGGCGGAAUUCGUGGUGUAGCGGUGAAAUGCUUAGAUAUCACGAAGAACUCCGAUUGCGAAGGCAGUUCACUGGACUGCAACUGACACUGAGGCUCGAAAGUGUGGGUAUCAAACAGGAUUAGAUACCCGAGUAGUC
RNAcentral lists this ribosomal RNA (460 nucleotides) under uncultured bacterium. RNAcentral's name for it is "partial 16S ribosomal RNA". It matches the Rfam family "Bacterial small subunit ribosomal RNA", at positions 338 to 795 of the family's 1533-position model. The record is from RNAcentral.